CCUACGGGGGGCUGCAGUGGGGAAUAUUGCACAAUGGGCGCAAGCCUGAUGCAGCCAUGCCGCGUGUGUGAAGAAGGCCUUCGGGGUGUAAAGCACUUUCAGCGGGGAGGAAGGCGUUGAGGUUAAUAACCUUGUCGAUUGACGUUACCCGCAGAAGAAGCACCGGCUAACUCCGUGCCAGCAGCCGCGGUAAUACGGAGGGUGCAAGCGUUAAUCGGAAUUACUGGGCGUAAAGCGCACGCAGGCGGUCUGUCAAGUCGGAUGUGAAAUCCCCGGGCUCAACCUGGGAACUGUAUUCGAAACUGGCAGGCUAGAGUCUGGUAGAGGGGGGUAGAAUUCCAGGUGUAGCGGUGAAAUGCGUAGAGAUCUGGAGGAAUACCGGUGGCGAAGGCGGCCCCCUGGACAAAGACUGACGCUCAGGUGCGAAAGCGUGGGGAGCAAACAGGAUUAGAUACCCUAGUAGUC
This 465-nucleotide ribosomal RNA is filed under the name uncultured Klebsiella sp. RNAcentral describes it as "bacterial SSU rRNA". It matches the Rfam family "Bacterial small subunit ribosomal RNA", at positions 338 to 795 of the family's 1533-position model. The record is from RNAcentral. Lineage: Bacteria; Pseudomonadati; Pseudomonadota; Gammaproteobacteria; Enterobacterales; Enterobacteriaceae.